RNA transcript from Bubalus bubalis (water buffalo), 847 nucleotides. It is a transcript of the gene named selenoprotein H, with no coding region annotated. The transcript is spliced from 4 exons. The record is from RefSeq and is a predicted model, not a curated record. Lineage: Eukaryota; Metazoa; Chordata; Mammalia; Artiodactyla; Bovidae.
GAGGCCCCGCCUCCAGACCACGUGUGCGCCCUGCGCCACGCUUGCCGCAGCUUAAGAGGUUUCGCAUCGGGAGCUGAGUUCCUGGGCUGCGGUUCGGCGCUCGGAGCCGGUCUGGCCUGUGCCCGCGGCGGUGCCCUGUCCCCAACCGGGCCCCAGGCGCCAUGGCGUCGCGCGGGAGGAAGCGGAAGGCCGAGGCGGCGCUGGCCGCUGCGGCCGAGAAGCGGGAGAAGCCGGCCGGCGGCCAGGAAGGGGGAGUGGAGGGGCCGAGCGUCGUCAUCGAGCACUGCACGAGCUGACGAGUCUACGGGCGCAACGCCGCGGCCCUGAGCCAGGCGCUGCGCCUGCAGGCCCCCGAGCUGACGGUGAAGGUGAACCCCGCCAGGCCGCGGAGGGGCAGCUUCGAGGUGACGUUGCUGCGCGCCGACGGCAGCAGCGCGGAGCUCUGGACGGGUCUUAAGAAGGGGCCCCCACGCAAACUCAAGUUUCCGGAGCCUCACGUGGUGCUGGAGGAGCUGAAGAAGUACCUUUCGUAGGGAGGUGGGGCAGAAGGCGUCUCGCUGAGGUUCGAGAUGGCGAAUGGCGGGGAGCGGGCUGAUCUUCGUGCGGCUGCUGGCGAAGCAGCCCUUCCUGUUAAACCCCCAAUCCCCGAUUUCACACAGGACCCUCUGUCCCUGGUGAUGUUGGAGCAUUUAUGACGGGACAUGGCCAAACUUCAGUCAUGUCCCUGAAGCUGUGGUUUCCUCCCCUCCGGAAACGAUGGUUCAGUUGUGAGGCAGUCCUCUAGUAAGACAUUGAAAAGUUCUUGGAUUUGGUUUAAUAAAAAUUAAAGGAUUUGAGUUUACAUAAA